RNAcentral lists this long non-coding RNA (212 nucleotides) under Mytilus galloprovincialis (Mediterranean mussel). The record is from RNAcentral. Lineage: Eukaryota; Metazoa; Mollusca; Bivalvia; Mytilida; Mytilidae.
GGCCCGUAUGCAAAAUGGCUUGUGUACUCAAGUUAAGAUUUGUUCCGAACGGACGGAUUUUUCUACACUUUCAACGAUGAAUUACGUUACAAACGGAACCUUGCUUCAGUAUAAGAAUGUUUAGCAGUAGACAAAAGUGGACAACGCUAUCAAAAGGGGGUUUUGAUCCAUAAGAAAGCCACAUUUUGUUUCAAAUUUGAUCUGUAAUUUCA